This 16139-nucleotide non-coding RNA is filed under the name Pongo abelii (Sumatran orangutan). The record is from RNAcentral. Lineage: Eukaryota; Metazoa; Chordata; Mammalia; Primates; Hominidae.
AGCGGGGGUGGGAGCUGCGGACGGCCAUGUGCGCGGCGGAGAGGCCGGGUGGCCGCCGAACCUUCCCGCCUGUUCUGCGGGGCGUCUGGGCAUGGCUUUCCCAACCUAGUAACUGCAACUUCUAGCAUCCUACAUGUAGGACUUGGGAAUAUGUGAGACAGCGCCAAGAAUUUAAUCCAGGAGAAUUGACAAGCUUAAAUGAAAUCCAUAUUGCCCACUGAUUUUGUGCAGCUUCAGAUAAGUAAUCUUUCUCCACUUAGCCUUUUGUAACAAUUGAUGUAAUAAAGGUUUGUAGUCUUUGCGUAAUUUAUUAAAGCAUUGUGCCUAAAAUAGAAAAAAAGCGUAGGAACCAUAGGCUACGUUUUCUUUUGAUUUAAUAUUUUCAUUUCUUCAGUUAAUAGAAAUUUGUCAAAAUUCUGAUGUUUUUCUGUAACAUUAUUUGAAUGAGCAUUGUUUAUUUGAGUGAACAUUCAGCUAAUUGUUACAGAAUCUUGCCCCCAUUAAUCUUAGGCUGUAGAAUGUAGACAAGUAAAUAGGCAUCAUCAGUAUGAUGAGAGUGAAGCUACUUAAUACUGUGGAAUCAAAUAAAGGAGGAACCCCUUACUAAACCAAGAGGGAGGAAUAAAAUGGAAUGGGACUAGAGAAGCAAUUAGCUUUAAUAAGGGUAUUAUAGAAGACUUUCUAGAUAAGAAGCAGUAAGUACAGAUGUUUGGAGGCAAACACUAGAGAGAUUGUUGGGUAAAGAAGACAAUGCUGGAGGUCUACUUGUGAAGGCCUUGAAUGCUAUGUGCAGAAGUCAGCUUCUGAGAACCAGGAGGAAGAUAUUGAAAGAUUUUAAGUAGAAGAAUCAUAGGAUUGAAUUCUUUUUAGACAGAUCACUGUUACACAAAAAUUUGAGGCAAACAGAAGAGUUUGGAGUAAACAGUAGGCUGUGAGCCAGUAAUGACUUGGACUGAGUUGGUGGCAGGUAGGUGUGAAGAAAAUAAAGUGGUUAUUGGGAGAUUUGGUUAACUGAAAAUGACUGAGGGGGAUAGAUGUCAGAGGUGACUCCCAAGUGAGUUGGUGGAGCAGCUAGGAGGAUAGUAAUGUCUUCACUGAGAUUAGAAACAAAAUAAGAGAAUAUAUGUUAGGGAAGAAAGAAGUCUCUAUUUUGACCAUGUAAAAUUUGAAGUGCCUGUGAGCCAACCAGGCAGGUAUGUGUAGUCAGCAAUUAGAUAUUCAUUCAACACCGUUGGAAGAGCACCUACUCUGUGCCUGGUACUGUUCUACACACUGAAAUAGGUAAAGCAGCAGCAAAACAAAUGGUUCCUACUCCUGUUUUUAGAGGGAAACAGCGUAUAAACAAGUUUUAAAAAUAAGAGGAGAGAGAAUAUCCCAUAAAUUCGUGAAGAAGGCCGGGUGCAGUGGCUCAUGCCAGUAAUCCCAGCAGUUUGGGAGGCCGAGGUGGGUGGAUCUCCUAAAUUCAGGGGUUAGAGAGCAGCCUGGCCAACAUGGCAAAACCCCGUCUCUACUAAAAAUACAAAAAUUAGCCGGGCACGGUGGCACGCUCCUGUAAUUUCAGCUACUCCGGAGGCUGAGGCAGGAGAAUAGCUUGAACCCAGGACACGGAGGCUGCAGUGAGCCGAGAUCGCACCACUGCACUCCAGCCCUGGGCGACUGGGCGACGGAACGAGACUCCGUCUCAGAAAAAAGAGUUUGUGAAGAAAAGUAAAGGCUGAUUGGAUAAAGUGUUACUCUGGGGAAAAGAGAGCAAACUUUUGGUGGUUGGUUGAUCAGAGAUGGCCUCACUGAGAGGGUAUUAGAAAGGACAAGAACAGUGUGAGACCAAAGGGAAUAGCUGGGCAAAGGCCCUAAGGUGAAAUGUUUGUUGUGUUUAGGAAACAGCAAGGUCAGUGUAUCCGAAAUCUAGUGACCAAAAGAAGGAAUGAUAGGAGGUGAAGUCUUCAGCCUCAAUAAGAAGGUGAAGUGCACUGGAAGCCAUUGAAGGAUUUAAGAAAUGAAGUAUCUGGCCGGGCGCGGUGGCUCACGCCUGUAAUCCCAGCACUUUGGGAGGCCGAGGUAGGAGGAUCAAGAGGUCAGGAGAUGGAGACCAUCCUGGCUAACACGGUGAAACCCCGUCUCUAUUCAAAAUAAAAAAUUUAAAAAAAAAAUUAGCCGGGCGUGGUGGCAGGCACCUGUAGUCCCAGCUACUCGGGAGGCUGAGGCAGGAUAAUGGCGUGAACCCGGGAGGCAGGGCUUACAGUGAGCCGAGAUCGCACCACUGCACUCCAGCCUGGGCGACAGAGCGAGACUCCGUCUCAAAAAAAAAAAGGAAAUGGAGUAUCGUGGACUAGGAUAGUAGCAGUAGAGAUGAGGAAAGUGGUUGGAUCCAAAAAGCUGACCUAUCUUGCUUACCAAUUAAAUGAGGAAAGGGAGGAAUCAAUAGUGAUGCCUAGGUUUGGGGCAUGUUGUCUAGGUGGAAUUAAUUUUGAUUACGCCUUUUAUUUAACCUAAUAUCCAAAUAUUAUUUCACAUGUGAUCAACAUAGAAAAUUACUAAAUAUUAAAAAUAUUUUACAUUAUCUUUCUCAUAGCUAAGCAUUUGAAAUCUGGUGUGUAUUUUAUACUUAUAGCAUAUCUCAGUACUUGAUUUCGUAAAAUUUCCAGCUGAAAAAAUAGAUUCACAUACCCAAGUCGUUCCAAGCAUACUUACAAGUUUUACGGUAAUCGAAUCGUGUAUAUUUUUAAAUUUUAUUUUAAAUUAAAGUUAGGAUUAUGAAUUCAGUUCCUAAAUUAACCUCAUUUCACUUCCUGCAUUUCAAGUGGGACAAGUUGUUACCAUAUUGGACAAUGCAGUCUAGUGAAAUAGAGGAUAGUGGAAAGUCAGACUUAAAAAGUUGUUUAGAACCAGCUCUGGAAGGUCUUGGAUGUCAGAUUAAAGGACUGAGAUUUUACCCUUGAGUCAGGCAGAAUAAUGGAUGGUUUUUGAACUAAGGAGUGACACAAUGUUGUGCUUAUGACUAGAAAGAGACCACUAGGUGGCCAGCUGGUGAGUCAGGACACCCUUCAGUUGCUUUGACUUCAGCCCUGUGGAUUCAAAGUCUGAUUUUUGUCAGCGCUCUAAAGCAGUCUCACCAAAAGUGUUCACAAGGCAGUGCCAGUCUGUAAGCCCUUUGUUACACAUCCAUGACAAGGCAUUUACAGAAAGUAAGAAUUUAAAAACUUACAGCAAUUUAACAGACUAAUUUUAUUUCUGUGGGUCUAAUAAAAAUUUGAGGGAUUGUACUUUGCAUGUAUCUUUAUUUCCCUUUUUUUGUUUGUUUUUUGUGUUUGAGAUGGGAGUCUUGCUUUGUCGCCAGGCUGGAGUGCAGUGGUGCAGUCUCGGCUCACUGCAACCUCUGCCUCCUGGGUUCAAGCGAUUUUCCUGCCUCAGCCUCCCGAAUAGCUGGGAUUACAGGUGUGCGCCACCACAUCCAGCUAAUUUUUGUAUUUUCAGUAGAGACAGAGCUUCACCAUGUUGGCCAGGAUGGUCUUGAUCGCCUGACCUUGUGAUCCGCCUGCCUCGGCCUCCCAAAGUGCUGGGAUUACAGACGUAAGCCACCGUGCCCGGCCUUUUUUUCCUUUUUAGUUUUUUUUUUUUCUUUUUUGAGACAGAAUUUCACUCUUAUUGCCCAGGCUGGAGUGCAAUGGUGUGAUCUUGGCUCACCGCAACCUCUGCCUCCCGAGUUGAAGCGAUACUCCUACCUCAGCCUCCCAAGUAGCUGGGAUUACAAGCAUGCACCACCAUACCCUGCUAAUUUUGUAUUUUUAGUAGAGACGGGGGUUUCUCCGUGUUGGUCAGGCUGGUCUCCAACUCCCAACCUCAGGUGAUCUGCCUGCCUUGGCCUCCCAAAGUGCUGGGAUUACAGGUGUGAGCCACUACACCCAGCCGUUUUUUUCUUUUUCUAAUAAUUUUUAUCAUAUUACAUGAAAGUACCUAUGGUCUCACAGAUGAAGGGAGUCAGAAAAACCAAACUCCCAGAAGACAUGUAAAUCUAAAUGCCUUUUUUACUUUAGAGUGAAAACUGUAAUAGCUAAAUUGUAAUGGACAUCUGCUCAUUUUCUCCCUCCAUGUAGACAUGGAAAGCUACAUGGAAAUAACCGAGUUUAUAGUAGCUAUCAUAUAUUAAACGUUUCCUGUAUGCCAGCCACUGUGCAAAGCCUAUUAUAUAUAUUGUCUCAUUUAAUCCUCACAACUCUGUAAAAUAAGUAUUGUUUGCCCCAUUUUUCCAGUGAAGAAACUGAGGCUAAAAUAGGUUGAAUAACUUACCUAAAUUCACCAUCCUCAAAGGUGUUAAAGGCAGGAUUCCAGUAUAGGUCUCUCAUUUCCUUCAUGAUUAGGAAUACUACUUUGAAAUGAGAGACCUGUACUGUAUCUGUUAAUUCCAAAUUCCCUGGCAUAAAGACUCAGUACAUUGUUUAAAGAGAACGCAUGAAGUUAACUGCAUUACCUUUUGGAGGGUUCAUUUGUGAAUUUGGGGCCAAAAUAAGGGGAGUUACUGGUAUUCUAAUAGCAUCAAACAAAUGAAUUCAUUUCUUCUUUUGGGGAGGUGGAGGGAAUAAGGUCUCACCUUGUUGCCCAUGCAGGCUGGAAGGCCGUGAUGUGAUCUCAGCUCACUGCAGCCUCAACCUGGGCUCAAGCGAUCCUCCCACCUCAGCCUCCUGAGUAGCUGGGACUACAGGUGCACACCACCGUGCCCAGCUCAUUUUUGUAUGUUUUGUAGAGACUGUUUUGCCACGUUGCCCAGGCUGUUCUCAAACUCCUGAGCUCAAGUGAUUCUCCCACCUCAGCCUCCGAAAGUGCUGGGAUUAGAGGUGUAAUCCACCACACCCAGCCAAAUGCAUUCAUGUCUACAAUAGAAAUACAUCUCUUUGCUCCUAUCUUGAAUUUGUAGACUCCCACAAAUCAAUAAAAAAGAAGACAUCCAAUAAAAAAAAGGGUAGAGGCCAGGCAGUGGCUCACACCUGUAAUCCAAACACUUUGGGAGGCCCAGGCAGGCAGAUCACCUGAGGUCAGAAGUUUGAGACCAGCCUGGCCAACAUGACAAAACCCUGUCUCUACUAAAAAUAUAAAAAUUAGCUGGACGUAGUGGCACGUACCUGUAAUCCCAACUACUCGGGUGGCUGAGACAGGAGAAUUGCUCGAACCCAGGAGGCAGAAGUUGCAGUGAGCCAAGAUCGUGCCACUGCACUCCAGCCUGGGCGACAGAGCAAGACUCCAUCUUAAAAAAAAAAAAAAGGCAGAAACUUAAACAGUCACCUCACAAAAAAGUGUAUCUAAAUAUUAGUUUCUUAAAAAAUAAAAAAGGGGCAUGUAGAUGGCCGAGAAACAUGUAAAAGAUACUCAACUAAUUUAAUCAUUAGAGAAAUGCAAAUUAAAACCUAAAUGAGAUUUUAAUCUCACAUCCAACAGAAUGGCUAAAAUGGAAAACCCAGAAAAUGCCAAAUGUUGGUCAAGAGUUGGAGUAACUGAAACUACACGGCUGCUGGAAAUGUAUAUUGGUAUAACCACUUUGGAAAAUGGGAAGUUCAACAAACAAGCAAUUUAGGGAUAUAUGUUUAGGUAGUAAAAGUAUAAAGAAAAGAAAUAGUUUUGCAGGGAGUAGUGCUUGGGAGGUAAUAGGUGCUUCUGGAGUGCUGUUGAUGUUCUGUUCCUAAGUAGGGUGCUGUGGCUUGAGUUUGGUUUGCCUGACCCUACCAAGUCUCAUGUUAAAAUUUGAUCCCCAGUGUUGGAGGUGAGGCCUGGUGGGAAGGGUUGUGGGAGUGGAUUUCUCAUGAGUGGCUUUGUAUUCUGUAAGGAGUGAGUUCAUUAAGAGACUGGCACCUCCUCUCUCCUUUCUCUCGCUAUGUGAUCUCUGCAUAUGUCAUCUCCUGUCUGCCUUCCACCAUGAGCAGCCUGAAGCCUUCACUGGAAGCAGAUACUGCUACCAUGCUUCUUGUACAGCCUGCAAAACCGUGAGCCAAAUAAGCCUAACAUUCUAAGACACUGGGAUUACAUGAGUGUUUACUCUAUGAUUUAUUGAGAAGUAGGUGUUUUGGAGAAAAAUGUACUUUCAGUAUGUAUAUUAUAUAUUUCAUGGUUAUUUUUAAAACUCGUGAGCAAUGCUGGAUACACACUACCAACUAUUACUUCCCUGACUGAGCCAAUUUUUCUGUAAAUGCAUCACAAAUGUGAAAGAUAAGAUAAGCCUGAAUUCUGGGGAAUGACAAUGGUGAAGGAAAGGCAAGACAGAUGCAAAAGACACUGCAGAACUCAGGCUUAAAAUCUCAUCCUUAACUCCUUCCCUCAUCCCACCAUGUUGAAUCAGAUGUCAAUAGCAAUUUUAUAUGGCAUUUUUUAAGCUUGCAAAAAGUUAUAAACACAGAAAAUGUUCAUUUUAUCACCCUAUCACAGACGAAAAACAUGAAAUUAAGCUAGGAAACAUGUUCAGGUGAUUAGAGUAGGUAGAACAUAGACUAAAAACCAGUGAACUUAUUUAAAAAAAUGCCAUGAUGUGGACAAAAAAAAAGAACUUGUGGCUCCUCACUCCAACUCCUGUGACUCUCUCACCUUACCCCCACUGCCUUCAAGUUUUUUGUAGAAAGAGAAAUUUUAUAUGGAUUGAGUUGAAGAUGAUGCCAGAAUAUCAAGGUAGAAUUAUUAAACAGACACAAAAGCUAAGGUUUGGUACUCUGAAAAAACGUCAGAAUUAGUGAUAGAAAAUUAGAAGUUACCCAUCCAUAGAAGGGUAAUAAAGCCAUGAGAGUGAAGGAAACCAGUGAGAGACAAUGUUGAGAAAAGUACUGAAGGACAGAGAAGGAGAAGUGAAGGAGGAAAGCAAAUCAGCAUUUAUUGAGCAUCUGUUAAACUGUAUGCCAGCUGUUCUACAUUUACUAUCUGAUUUAUUCCUUUCCAUUUCCAAGGUAGCCAAUUUUAGCCUCAUUUGAUAGACUGACUUUGUAGACUCAAAAAGCAGUAAAAAGAACCAGCAUUCAAAACCAGCUUGACUCCAGUUUAUUCGGUGUACUACACCAUUCCUGGAGAUGGUAAGUGUGUGUUACAGAAGACCAUGGAGAGAAUUUAGGUCAAGGAAAGAUAAGCCCUGGGAAAAGACCAUUGGAUUUUUGUGUUUUUUGACUAAGGGGUUCCCAUAACAUAGCAGCACCCUGCACUCCUGUCUUAACGCUUCUGUGAAUGUGGGUAAUGCAGACAAAUGUAAAUGCCUGUCAAUAAGGGGGAAAAAAGUCAAGAUAGUAAAUGUAAAAAUUAGUAUAAUGAAAACAAACCAGGUAUUAAAUUCUAGCUAGAUACUCUUGCCAACCAAGCGCUUCAAAUCUCAAGGCCUGAAUGAAGAAUAGCUUUUUUUUUCUCUGAGACACGGUCUUACUCUGUUGCCCAGGCUGGCGUGCAGUGGCAAGAUCUCGGCUCACUGCAGCCUCGAUUUCCCAUGCUCAGGUGAUUCUCCCACCUCAGCCUCCUUAGCAGCUGGAACUACAAGCGCAGCCACCAUGCCUGGCUAAUUCUGUGUAUUUCUGGUAGAGAUGGGGUUUUGCCAUGUUGCCCAGGCUAGUCUUGAACUCCUGAGCUCAAGCGAGACACCCACCUUGACCUCCCAAAGUGUUGGGAUUACAGACAUUAACCACCACGCCUGGCCUGUAAACAGGAAUAACUUUCUUGCCGUGUGAUUCAAUGUUAUUUACUGCUUUGUUCGUGUACUGCCUAGAACCAUGUUGAUUAUCACCAGUGGUAUGGAUCCUGCACAUUGGGAAACACUGCAGUGUUAUUUAAUUUUGUUCGCUGUGUUUACAGUGCAGUUUUAGUCACCUGAAAUUCUAAGAGAAAAGAUCAAGAUGGUUUUGCCAAUCAAAGGUCAUUAAUACUUGGAAUGAAAGAUAACUUCUACUGGUGAUGAACACAUGCCUUUUGAAAAGCAUCAGUAUCUCCUUAAAAUGUAUAAACUACUGUAAUCAAUGAGGAAGACUUUUUCCUACCAGAUUUAUUAAACUCAUUUACCAUACAAAUAGCAUUAUAACAUUAAAGAAAAAGUUUUAAAAAUUCUGUACCAUAAAACAAUUACUGGUUCCUUCCUACCUGUUUUUAGGUUUGCAGAUGAAUAAUGUGUGGAUUUUUGGCAGACACACUGCUGAAAAUUUUUCACUUGGUUGGGUGAGCAUCUCACCCUAUCUCCAUUUGUCUCCCUGCUCUGUCUGAGUUCUAGAGAAGACCACCAAUAAGCAAGUGAAAUUCCUGGGCCAAGUCACUGAUACCAGAAUUCCCCAGAGGCACCAAGAGUUUUGAUUUCCAGAAAUUGGUUAGGCACAGCCGCUCAUUCAACCUUAUAUUUUGUAUCUCAGAGUUAAGGUUGCAUUUGGGCUACCUAGCCUGUAGACUCUAUUUUAAGACAAGCAGGCAUUUAAUAGUUGUUGGUUGGUUGAUUAGAGCUUCUAGCCAAUUUUUUAAAAUUAUUUGAAUAGAUAAGCCAUUCACUGGUUCAAAAAAAAUUUUUUAAUCAUCACUUCCACCCAUCCAGUUACCACUACUGAAGUAACCUCUACUUUUUGUUUCUUGCAUAUUCUUUUUUUUUUUUUUUUUUUGAGACAUAGUCUCGAUCUAUUGCCCAGGCUGGAGUGCAGUGGUGUGAUAUUGGGUCACUGCAACCUCCGCCUCCCGAGUUCAAGCAAUUCUCCUGCCUCAGCCUCCCAAGUAGCUGGGACUACAGGCGCACGCUACCACAUCCGGCUAAUUUUUAUAUUUUUAGUAGAGAUGGGGUUUCACCAUGUUGGUCAGGCUGGUUUCGAACUCCUGACCUCAGGUGGUCCGCUUGCCUCGGCCUCCCAAAGUGGAGUUACAGGUAUGAAUCAAAGUGCCCAGCCUCUUGUAUAUUUUUCCACAUACACAUUUUUUCAUGCAUAUAUAUGUAAGAAUAAAUGUUCUUAUUCCCCCUCCCCCAUUUUUAUAUAAGAGAAAAUACCGUACAAACCCUUCUGCACAUUGGACUUGAGAUGGCUUUUCCAUCUCAGUGCAAAAAGGCGACAUUUUUUCUUAACCACUGCACAUUAUUUAGUUAUGACCCAGUUUGGGGACAUUGAGUUUCUUUUGUACUCUAGUGCUUGAAUGAUUAUCCUUGGAUGUACAUCUUUCCUUGUAUAUUUAAAUAUGUCUCAUCUCAGUUUACACAGGUGGAAUUGCUCUGCAAAAAGGCAUAUACGUAUUUUUAAUUUGCCCUCUAUGUACCAAAUGUUUUCACCCCAGCAUUGCUGAUGGAUUAGAGUGCUGCCAAGUUUUUGGAUUUUUACCUACCAGCUUUUGAAGGGCAGAUUAUUUCAAGUCUUAAUAUUUUCAGGAACAGUAACGAUAUCAUUUGGUUAAACUGAGAGAAAUGGGGUUCAUUUGACAGAAUUUGUUCAGGAUAUAGAAUUUUUUUGCUGCUGUUCCUGCAGCUACACACCUACAACUAGUAAAAACAUAGUUGCUUAGGUUGUCGAAUGACCAGCAAACCUGGAGAAGAACCAGGAAUGACUACAAACAGCUCCACCCACCCUUUUUUUGGGCAAAUGUGCAAGCUUAGCAGAAUCUAAAACGAUCCUUCAGCCUUUGUUUGAGUUGCAGAAAAUUAACAUGGUAAGGAGGAAGAAAUCACUAAUUUUGUUAAAAAGUUCCCUGAUACAGGAACUGAAAAUGAUUUUUGACCAACCUGGGCAAUAGAGCAAAAUUCCAUCUCUACAAAAAAAUACAAAAAUUAGUUGGGCAUGGUGGUGCUGCCUGUAGUGACGGCUGCUCAUCCUGAGGUGGGAGGAUUGCUGGAGGCCAGGAGGUUGAGGCUGCAGUGAGCCAGGAUCACACCACUGCACCAGCCUGGGCUACAGAGUAAGACUCAAGAAAAAAAAAAGAUUUUUGAUUAAUCUUGCUUCAGUGCUGAGGUGGUACAGGGAGGGAGAAAGGGAUAUUGGGCUGUGAAUUCCACCUAAACUGGGGAUUUUUAUCAGGGUGUCAAGAAAGAUUUUCAGGAAUAAUUAUCUGAGUUACUUGGAGUAAAAGUAACAGGAGGAGGAAAAGAGAUGUGGCAUGUGGGUCUCUGACUUGACAAACUUUUUAUUCAUUUUACAAAUCAUGAUUUCUAGAGCAUCUUAAUCUUUGAGGCCCAAGUGCUUGGAAGUUGCAUAAUCUCUGUACUUCACUUCCCCCCUAUAAAAUGGGGAAUAUGAUAGAAUCUACCUUGUAUUUGAGAGGAUUAAAUAAAUAUAAAGUGCUUAGAAAAGUAAGGACUCAAAUACUAGUAAUUAUUAUUUUGACAUGUUUAAGUAAUCAGUACUAUCUGGAAAACUGUGCUAAUAGUGCCUGAUCUACACAAAUUUAAGUGACUAUACCUCUUUUUUGAGUCAGAGUCUCGCUCUGUUACCCAGGCUGGAGUAUAGUGGUAUGAUCUCUGCUCAGUGCAGCCUCCGCCUCCUGGGUUCAAGAGAUUCUCCAGGCUCAGCCUCCCAAGUAGCUGGGAUUACAGGCGCCCACCACCACACCUGGCUAAUUUUUGUAUUUUUAGUAGAGACGGGGUUUUACCAUGUUGGCCAGGCUGGCCUCAAACUCCAGACUUCAAGUGAUCACCUGCCUCAGCCUUCUAAAGUGCUAGGAUUAUAGGCGUGAGCCACCGCACCCACCGCUCUGUAUAUCUCUUUUGAAAGUCAUAAGCAGUAUCUUUGGAAAAAACACUUAAGGUUAUUUAUUUAGAGGUAGUGUCUCUCACUGUGUACCCCAGCUGGAGUACAGUGGCACAGUCACAGCUCGCUGCAGCAUCAAAUUCCUAGGCUCAAGCCAUCCUUCCACCGGACAUGUUGGCGUGCACCUCCUGAGUAGCUGAGAGUACAGUUGUGCUCUACCACACCGGGCUAAUUUUUGUAUUUUUUAGUAGAGAUGGGGUUUUGCCAUGUUAGACAGGCUGGUCUGGAACACCUGACCUCUGGUGAUCUGCCCACCUCAGCCUCCCAAAGGGCUGGGAUUAAAGGCAUGAGCCACCGCACUCAGCCACUCAAGGCUUUUAAAAAAAUCAAUAAUUUCUAAAUGGUUUUGGAUUUUUGACUCCUUAUGAGUGUUAAGAUAUUUUGGUAUCACUUUUUUCCUUCCAAAAAAAAACCAACUAGGUGAUAUCUAUUCCUCAGUUAAAGUUAAUUAAAACUAUUUUGGAUCCCAGCACUUUGGGAAGCCAAAGGCAGGCAGAUUACCUGAGGUCAGGAGUUCAAGACCAGCCUGGCCAACAUGGUGAAACCUGUCUCUACUAAAAAUACAAAAAAUAAGCCAAGCAUGGUGGCGGGCGCCUGUAAUCCCAGCUACUCAGGAGGCUGAGGCAGGAGAAUUGCUUGAACCCGGGAGGCAGAGUUUGCAGUGAGCCAAGAUAGUGCCAUCACACUCCAGCCUGGACAACAGAGCGAGACUCCAUCUAAAAAAAAAAAAAAAAAAAAAUUUUCAGUUUUUGGUUUUGAAAAUGUCAUGAUACCUGUUGAGAUAACUGCUGAAUAUAUGGGUAAUACACAGUCUAGGGCAUGGUAUCAAAAGAACUUGUCACUGUAUAUAUCGGAAAUGGUAAAAAUAUGUUUUGCCGUUUUCAUGAAUUCAUUCAUUUUUCAUGUUUUUUUUAAAAAAAAGAUCCUGCUAAUUCUCUGUUUCUCUUGCUUUUCUCCUUUAUGACUAAGUUAUCCUCUUUAUGGAUUACCUCACAUUACUGCUUACGAAGACAUCUCUUUAGUCAGAAAGCAGUAACUUGGUUCAGCUCUAGCUUCAUUGUUAAGCUCAUAGGUAAAUCUGGCAAAUGGCUAGAAACAUUCACAUGUUUGCUUGUCCUUAAUGCUCUCACCUUUUCCCAGCUAUUUGGAUGUAUAUACCUUUGCUCACUUUGUAGUGUACCAACUUAAUAUAUGUUAUAGACUAAAUGUUUAUGUCCUCCCAAACUUCAUAUUUUGGAAGCCAGACAUGGUAACUCACACCUGUAAACCUAACACUUUGGGAGGCCUAAGUGGGAGGAUUUCUUGAGUCCGGGAGUUCAGGACCAGCCUGGACAACAUAGUGAGACCCCAUCUCUACAAAAAAAAAAUUUUUUUAAUUAGCCAGGCGUGGUGGCACACACCUGUAGUCCCAGCUACUCAGGAGGCUUGCAUGAGCCCAGAAGUUUGAGACUGCAAUGAGCCAUGAUUAUGCCAGCUUGGGUGACAGAGCAAGACCUUGUCUCAAGAAAAAAAAAAAAUUGCCAAUUGCGGUGGCUCAUGCCUGUAAUCCCAGCACUAGGAGGCCGAGGUGGGUGAAUCACCUGAGGUCAGGAGUUUUGAGACCAGCCUGGCCAACGUGGCAAAACCUCGUCUCUACUAAAAAUGCAAAAAUUACUAGGACAUGUUGGUGAGCAGCUGUAAUCCCUGCUACUCAGGAGGCUGAGGCAAGAGAAUCUCUUGAACCCAGGGGGUGGAGGUUGCACUGAGCCGAGAUCAUGCCAUUGUACUUCACCUCUGGACAGAGGGAAACUCUGUCUCCAAAAAAAAAAUAUGGAGGGCUGGGCACGGUGGCUAACACCUGUAAUCCCAGCACUUUGGGAGGCCAAGGCGGGUGGAUCACAAAGUCAGGAGUUCAAGACCAGCCUGGCCAACAUAGUGAAACCCUGUCUCUACUGAAAAUACAAAAAUUAGCCAGGCAUGGUGGCACACGCCUGUAGUCCCAGCUACUGGGGAGGCUGAGGCAGGAGAAUCGCUUUGAACCUGGGAGGCGGAGGUUAUGGUGAGCUGAGAUCGCAUCAGUACACUCCAGCCUGGGCAACAAUGCGAGAUUCCAUCUCAAAAAAAUAAAUAUUUGGAGUCCCAUAAUAAAUAAAUAAAUAAAUAUUUGGAGUCCAAUGUGAUAGUAUCUGGAGAUGGGGCCUUUGGAGGUAAUAUGGGUUAGAUAGGUCAUGACAGUAGGGCCCUCAUUAUGGGAUUAGUGGCGUUAGAAGAAGAAGAGAGAAAUCUUCCUCCUCAAGAGCAGAGGAAAAGCCAUAUAAGAAUACAGUGAGACGGCCACUUGCAAACCAGAAAGGGAGCCCCCACCAGGAACCAAAUUGGCUGGCACCUUGAUCUUGGACUUCCCAUGCUCCAGAACUAUGAGAAAUAAAUUCCUAUUAUUUAAGCCCAUGGUAGUUUUAUGGCAUCCUGAGCUAAGACAACGUGUCUCUAGUUUCCCACAGAUUCAUAAAGGUCCGUACAAAAAAUGUUAUAACUGUUAAUAGUGUCCUGUCCUUGAAUUUAACAGCAACCAACAUAUUGUUUGUGUAGUUCUUGCGCCAUUUGGAAACAGUGACCUUUAGGUGUUGCAGGUAACUAUUGGGAAAUCCUUCAAUUUGUUUAACAUUUCCAUAUUUUGAUUUGCAUCUUGGGAGUUGCUUGGAAUUUGGGAUCCUCUUCUGUCUCUUGAAUUGAAAUCAGAGGCUGCUUGCCGGGCAAGGUGGCUCACGCCUGUAAUCCCAGCACUUUGGGAGGCCCAGGCAGACAGAUCACCAGAUGUCGGGAGUUAGAAACCAGCCUGGCCAACAUAGUGAAACCCCGUCUCUACUAAAAAUACAAAAAUUAGCCGGGCGUGCUGGUGCACGCCUGUAAUCCUAGCUACUUGGGUGCUGAGUCAGGAGAAUUGCUUGAACCUGGGAGGUGGAGGUUGCAGUGAGCCAAGAUCGUGUCACUGCACUCCAGCCAGGGCAACAGAGCAAGACUCUGCCUCAAAAAAAGAAAUCAGAGGCUGGGCAUAGUGGCUCAUGCCUAUAAUCCCAGCACUUUGGGAGGCCAAGGCAGGUGGAUCCCUUGAGGCCAGGAGUUCAAGACCAGCCUGGGCAACAUGGCGAAAGCCUAUCUCUACUAAAGAUACAAAAGAUUAGCUGGACGUGAUGGUGUGUGCCUGUAAUCCCAGCUACUCAAGAGGCUGAGGCACAAGAGAAUUGCUUGAACACGGGAGGUGGAGGUUGCAGUGAGCCAAGAUCACACCACUGCAUUCCAACCUGGGGCAACAGAGUGAGACUCUGUCUCAAAAAAAGAAAAAAAAAAAAAUCAGAGAUAAUAUAAAUGCAGGUGUAAACUCGUACACUUAAUGGGCUAUAAAUUUUGGAACUGGCUGUGAUAAUAUAACAAAAGUAAUAAUGGGCUGUGAGUGGUAUUAAAUGUGGGAUUAACUGGAUAUUUAAUGAUACCAAAGAAUCAUUAAUUUUGUUUGGCUAUGAUGUUUUAUUAUUAGAAUGAUGUUAUGAUUAAAUUUUAUUUUUGUCUGGAUACAGUCGCUCACACCUGUAAUCCCAGCACUUUGGGAGGCCGAGGCAGAUGGAUCACUUGAGGCCAGGAGUUCCAGACCAGCCUGGCCAACACAGCGAAACCCCAUCUCUACUAAAAAUACAAAAAAUUAGCCAGGCCUGGUGGUGCACGCUUGUAAUCCCAGGUACUUGGGAGGCUAAGGCAGGAGGAUCACUUGAACCCAGGGGAGGCUGCAGUGAGCUGAGAUCGCACCACUGCACUCCAGCUUGGGCAACAGAGCAAGACUCCAUCUUAAAAAGAAGAAAGAAAGAAAUUCUAUUUUUUAAAUGUUUUUUCCUUUUAUUGAACUCCAUUUAUAGCCUUUCCAUUCAGAGCAUAAAGAUUAAAUUUUAAAACAACGCUUGGCACCCUGGCUUCUGCCUGUAAUCCCAGCACUUUGUGAGGCCAAGGUGGGCGGAUCACCUGAGCUCAGAAGUUUGAGUCCAGCCUGGCUAACAUGGUGAAACCCCAUCUCUAAAAGAGUACACAAGCCUGGAGCAGUGGUGUGCGCCUGUAGUCCUAGCUACUUGGGAGGCUGAACCAGGAGAACUGCUUGAGCCUGGGAGGCAGAGGUUGCAGUGAGCCAAGAUCGCACCAUUACACUCCAGCCUGGGUGACAGAGAGAGACCCUGUGCCCCUCAAAAAAAAUGUUUUUUUAAACAAGAAUCUCUUAGGCACACUGAAAUAUUGAAGAGGAAAUUAUAUUAAUAUCUGGGACUUGUUUCCAAAUAAUCUGGAAUUGGGGCAGGGUGUAAAUUGUUGACAAUAUCAAAGAAACGAGGAGUUGGAAUGAUAAUUGUAGAAGCUGCAUGAUAGAUACAUGUUCUUUAUACUUCUGUAUAUGUUGACAUUUUUUAUUAAAUUAUAAUUGUAUAAUGACUAUAAUUAUGCUUUCAUUGUCUAUUCUGUGUGGUUAUGUUACUUGCUGAAAUUAAUACAUAAAGAGUCUUCAACUUAAAUGACUUAUCAAGCAUAAAUAUUAAAAUACUGGAUGUUACUACACAUUUGACUCCACUUACGCAUUUAUUCAUCAACUAUUAAAUGCUUUCUUGUAGAUUUCUCAUUUAAUCUCUGCAAGGUAGGUGUUACCCCUGAUUUUACAAAUGAGGAAAUGUAGAUUCAAGAUAAGUAAUAUGCAGGUCGAGAAUAGCAAAAUCGGUCAGGUGCGGUGCCUCAUGCCUGUAAUCCCAGCACUUUGAGAGGCUGAGGUGGGUGGAUCACCUGAAGUCAGGAGUUCAAGCCCAGCCUAGCCAACAUAGUGAAACCCCAUCUCUACUAAAAAUACAAAAAUUAGCCAGGCAUGAUGGCAGGUGCCUGUAAUACCAACUACUCAGGAGGUUGAGGGAGGAGAAUCGUUUGAACCCGGGAGGUGGAGGUUGCAGUGGGCCGAGAUUGUGUCACUGCACUCCAGCCUGGGUGACAGAGUGAGACUCCAUCUGAAAAAAAUGAAAACAGCAAAAUUAUAACUUCUCCCCCAUUUGGUCUUCCACCUGGAAACUCAUGUUUUGUUUCUACUGUACCAUGCUGCUUCUCAGACAUGCCUGACUGUUUUUUCCCGUGCUGUUUUCUUCUAGGAGUGAAAGCCUGGCACAACGUGUACAAUAAAAUUCAGGGAAUAUUUUUGGGGUCUUUGUCCUCUUCUUUCCUGUUAAAGCAGCUAGAGUCAGUAGGCAGGACCUAAGGUGUACUACACCAUAAGGAAGCCAUGGAACAGUGAACUGGCAAAAUUCUAGACCCAACUCAUGAAAUUUUGGUUCUUCAAGAAUUUGUUUGACUGCUAUUUACUGUAUUUGUGCUGAUUACUGUUCAGUAUACUGGGUCUUGUCUCACUUUCAGAACAUAAACGAAGAACUCAAUCGC